Non-coding RNA from Apodospora peruviana, 107 nucleotides. The record is from the annotation of a GenBank genome assembly. Lineage: Eukaryota; Fungi; Ascomycota; Sordariomycetes; Sordariales; Lasiosphaeriaceae.
GGUUGCGUGGCCCAGUGGUUAAGGCAUCUGCUUUACAGUGCAUCAACUUUCAAACGGUUGUUCUCAGUGAACGCAGAGGAUCGCAGGUUCGAGCCCUGCCGCGAUCA